UUGGAAAUACAUACCUGUGGAUGUAUUUCAAGGCCUACCUUCAAACUCAGUCCCUCUUUGCUUGACAUCAUCAGGAAAUCGAAAACAAACAAUUUCCUCUGGUUCAUCCUUGGGAGCAAUUUCCAAACGCUUGAAGGUACCACUUUCAUCUGUACAAACAAUCGUACGCAAGUAUAAACACCAUGGGACCACGCAGCUGUCAUACCGCUCAGGAAGGAGACGCGUUCUGUCUCCUAGAGAUGAACGUACUUUGGUGCGAAAAGUGUAAAUCAAUCCCAGAACAACAGCAAAGGACCUUGUGAAGAUGCUGGAGGAAACAAAAACCUAUCGGCUGCCUUUGAUACUGUGAACCAUCAGAUCCUCCUCUCCACCCUCUCCGAGUUGGGCAUCUCCGGCGCGGCUCACUCUUGAAUUGCGUCCUACCUGACUGGUCGCUCCUACCAGGUGGCGUGGCGAGAAUCCGUCUCCGCACCACGUGCUCUCACCACUGGUGUCCCCCAGGGCUCAGUUCUAGGCCCUCUCCUAUUCUCGCUAUACACCAAGUCACUUGGCUCUGUCAUAUCCUCACAUGGUCUCUCCUAUCAUUGCUACGCAGACAACACAUAAUUAAUCUUCUCCUUUCCCCCUUCUGAUAACCAGGUGGCGAAUCUCUUCUCUGCAUGUCUGGCAGACAUAUCAGUGUGGAUGACGGAUCACCUCCUCAAGCUGAACCUCGACAAGACGGAGCUGCUUUUCCUCCCGGGGAAGGACUGCCAGUUCCAUGAUCUCGCCAUCACGGUUGACAACUCCAUUGUGUCCUCCUCCCAGAGUGCUAAGAGCCUUGGCGUGACCCUGGACAACACCCUGUCGUUCUCCGAUAACAUCAAGGCGGUGACCCGAUGCUGUAGGUUCAUGCUCUACAACAUUCGCAGAGUAUGACCCUGCCUUACACAGGAAGCGCCGCAGGUCCUUAUCCAGGCACUUGUCAUCUCCCGUCUGGAUUACUGCAACUCGCUGUUGGCGGGGCUCCCUGCCUGUACCAUUAACCUCUCUGGGGUCGGUGGGAUGAAAUCGU
RNAcentral lists this long non-coding RNA (1054 nucleotides) under Salmo salar (Atlantic salmon). RNAcentral describes it as "lncRNA (ENSSSAG00000101636.1)". Lineage: Eukaryota; Metazoa; Chordata; Actinopteri; Salmoniformes; Salmonidae. The record is from RNAcentral.